AAAACGCUGGCGGCGUGCCUACACAUGCAAGUCGAGCGAUGAAGUUUCCUUCGGGAACGGAUUAGCGGCGGACGGGUGAGUAACACGUGGGUAACCUGCCUCAUAGAGGGGAAUAGCCUUCCGAAAGGAAGAUUAAUACCGCAUAACAUUGCAGUUUCGCAUGAAACAGCAAUUAAAGGAGCAAUCCGCUAUGAGAUGGACCCGCGGCGCAUUAGCUAGUUGGUAAGGUAAUGGCUUACCAAGGCGACGAUGCGUAGCCGACCUGAGAGGGUGAUCGGCCACAUUGGGACUGAGACACGGCCCAGACUCCUACGGGAGGCAGCAGUGGGGAAUAUUGCACAAUGGGGGAAACCCUGAUGCAGCAACGCCGCGUGAGUGAUGACGGUCUUCGGAUUGUAAAGCUCUGUCUUUGGGGACGAUAAUGACGGUACCCAAGGAGGAAGCCACGGCUAACUACGUGCCAGCAGCCGCGGAAAUACGUAGGUGGCAAGCGUUGUCCGGAUUUACUGGGCGUAAAGGGAGCGUAUGCGGAUUUUUAAGUGUGGAUGUGUAAAUUACCCGGGUCUCAACCUGGUGUGCUGUCAUUCCUAAACUGGGAAUCUACAGUGCCAAGAAGGGUAAGAGUGGAAUUCCUUAGUGGUUAGCGGGUGAAAUGCGUUAAUGUAUUAGGGUAAUAACGCCGCGUUGCCGAGGGAUGCUCUCUUUUGUACUUGUUACCUGCACUUAUGUAAGAUGUCCUCAUAGCGUCGGAUAGAGUCAAAGUGGUGAUUAAUAUUAUUACUUGUGAGGUAAGUAUAACAGCAGUAUACAUGUAGAGAGAGCAGUGAUGAGAGAUAUGACAUUAAUAUGUAUUGCGAUGAUGUAGUGUGUGGUGUUUAUUUCUAAGAAAGUGAUACACAUUCUACGAGUAUUGAUGAAGUACUACCUCGUACGUCAUA
Molecule: ribosomal RNA, 938 nt
Filed under: Clostridium sp. MU02-13
Lineage: Bacteria; Bacillati; Bacillota; Clostridia; Eubacteriales; Clostridiaceae
Description: bacterial SSU rRNA
Rfam family: Bacterial small subunit ribosomal RNA (bases 1-779)
Source: RNAcentral